Molecule: unclassified non-coding RNA, 194 nt
Filed under: uncultured Chaetothyriales
Lineage: Eukaryota; Fungi; Ascomycota; Eurotiomycetes; Chaetothyriales
Description: sequence contains ITS1
Source: RNAcentral
CCGAGUUAGGGUCUUUCCAGGCCCGACCUCCCAACCCUUUGUUUAAUUGACCCAUGUUGCUUCGGCGAGCCCGUCCCCCCAAAGGGGACCGCCGGAGGGCCCUUACCGGUCUUCUGGCCCGCGCUCGUCGGUGGCCAACCUUUACAAAUUCUUAAUUAAACGUGUCUUAUCUGAGUACAAAUUUAAUUAAAGCA